GCGGUGUUCGUAUAACGGUUAGUAUACCAGUUUGUGGCCUAAUAACCUCAAUUCACUGGCGAUGGCGGUUCGAUUCCGCCACACCGCA
This is a non-coding RNA of Ilyonectria robusta, 88 nucleotides long. NCBI's taxonomy places the organism in Eukaryota, Fungi, Ascomycota, Sordariomycetes, Hypocreales, Nectriaceae. The record is from the annotation of a RefSeq genome assembly.